GACGGAAGGUGCAAGCGUUGCUCGGAAUCACUGGGCGUAAAGGGUGCGUAGGCGGCUUGGUAAGUUGGGUGUGAAAGCCCCGGGCUCAGCCCGGGAAGGGCACUCGAAACUGCCGAGCUGGAGUGCCGGAGGGGAGAGUGGAAUUCCUGGUGUAGCGGUGAAAUGCGUAGAUAUCAGGAGGAAUACCGGUGGCGAAGGCAGGUCUCUGGGCCGAUACUGACGCUGAGGAGCGAAAGCGUGGGGAGCAAACAGG
RNAcentral lists this ribosomal RNA (253 nucleotides) under uncultured bacterium. RNAcentral describes it as "partial 16S ribosomal RNA". It matches the Rfam family "Bacterial small subunit ribosomal RNA", at positions 524 to 776 of the family's 1533-position model. The record is from RNAcentral.